AUACAGAGGGUGCAAGCGUUAAUCGGAAUUACUGGGCGUAAAGCGCGCGUAGGCGGUUUGUUAAGUUGGAUGUGAAAGCCCCGGGCUUAACCUGGGAGGGUCAUUCAAAACUGGCAGACUAGAGUGUGAUAGAGGGUAGUGGAAUUCCUAGUGUAGCGGUGAAAUGCGUAGAGAUUAGGAGGAACACCAGUGGCGAAGGCGACUGCCUGGACCAACACUGACGCUGAGGUGCGAAAGCGUGGGUAGCAAACGGAAUUAGAUACCCCAGUAGUCC
This 274-nucleotide ribosomal RNA is filed under the name uncultured bacterium. RNAcentral's name for it is "partial 16S ribosomal RNA". It matches the Rfam family "Bacterial small subunit ribosomal RNA", at positions 523 to 796 of the family's 1533-position model. The record is from RNAcentral.